This 372-nucleotide ribosomal RNA is filed under the name Bacillus cereus. RNAcentral describes it as "bacterial SSU rRNA". It matches the Rfam family "Bacterial small subunit ribosomal RNA", at positions 1010 to 1383 of the family's 1533-position model. Lineage: Bacteria; Bacillati; Bacillota; Bacilli; Caryophanales; Bacillaceae. The record is from RNAcentral.
GGCUUCUCCUUCGGGAGCAGAGUGACAGGUGGUGCAUGGUUGUCGUCAGCUCGUGUCGUGAGAUGUUGGGUUAAGUCCCGCAACGAGCGCAACCCUUGAUCUUAGUUGCCAUCAUUAAGUUGGGCACUCUAAGGUGACUGCCGGUGACAAACCGGAGGAAGGUGGGGAUGACGUCAAAUCAUCAUGCCCCUUAUGACCUGGGCUACACACGUGCUACAAUGGACGGUACAAAGAGCUGCAAGACCGCGAGGUGGAGCUAAUCUCAUAAAACCGUUCUCAGUUCGGAUUGUAGGCUGCAACUCGCCUACAUGAAGCUGGAAUCGCUAGUAAUCGCGGAUCAGCAUGCCGCGGUGAAUACGUUCCCGGGUCUUG